AUGGAUCUGUCAUUGGAGAUGGGCGUAAGGCUGAGUGUAAUUUUGUAUGCCCGGGUUAACCACCCCACAACAUACAUUUGCAUUGCUGUUACAAUUUCUGUUGUAAUCAUUAUGAGCUUGGCUGUCGAGACUUCAAGACCAUUUCCUCAGGUGAGGUGGGGGGGGGGGCUGCGGCCUCUAAAGACCACCCACAUCUGCCAAGCUCUGCUCCAAAAGGUUGCCUUAGUGGCAAGAGCUGUUCUGCACAAGGAUUCAUAGGGUCGUGUCAAUAAGCUGUACGCACUGCAGUAUGGUCGGCGCCUCCAGCUUUUUCCACAAUCUGCUUAUCGGAGCUGGGGCCGCUAUGUUAAUCUGGUAAAUUAGAUAUUUUGUUGCUUUGGGUAGUUUGGGCGGGUAGUUAUGUAGCAAGGUGUUUUAGGUAGAUCACUGCCCGUGCUGUUUUGAAUCAGCGUAAUUAUCGAUGCCCAGUAAGAUGUGAGUAUAGGGCACGCCCACCAAAUGUGGAUCAUGGUUCCCGAGGUGCACCGCCAAC
This is a non-coding RNA of Pelobates cultripes (western spadefoot toad), 532 nucleotides long. The record is from the annotation of a GenBank genome assembly. NCBI's taxonomy places the organism in Eukaryota, Metazoa, Chordata, Amphibia, Anura, Pelobatidae.